Long non-coding RNA from Seriola aureovittata, 625 nucleotides. RefSeq lists it as uncharacterized. The record is from RefSeq and is a predicted model, not a curated record. The transcript is spliced from 4 exons. NCBI's taxonomy places the organism in Eukaryota, Metazoa, Chordata, Actinopteri, Carangiformes, Carangidae.
AGAAAUGCAGAGAAAUUCAGUCAUCUUGGAGAGAGAGGUGUUCAUCUGAACGGUGAACGGGCUUCUGAAGCUGAAGCUUCUCGAAGUCUGCAAGUCCAUGCCCAGAUCUCUGCCCUCAUAAACAAAGGGAAGUACAAAGAGGAAGGGGUGCAGCUCAGCCUGGACAUGUAGCAUGGGGCCAAAAUGAUCCACGCUGCAGCACAGAUCAAAGGCAAAGACCAGCCUGAUGCAAGGACAUUGUUAACCACUUUUGGUGGUGCUGCAAAAAGCUGUAUCAUCACACAACUUCAUUGAGCUGUGGCCAGGACAAAUGAACACUGCUGGGGAACUGCCAACAUGUGCACAUGGAACACGACGGGAGGAAUCACAUCGGUCCAUGAGGCUCUUAAGGACAUUAUCGGGAGCAAUAUCUCCUCUCUGCUUGAGGAGGAGUCUCCACUCCUUUCUUCCCAUUUCCUGUUUGUUGUGUGAGCGUGAGUGAGGGAGGUGGACAUGUGAGUGGUGCAGAGUUUUUUCUAUCCCUGUUUUUUGGAUUUUAGGACCUGAUAAACAGUUCUUGAAAGAUGAGCGUCAGGUUCAUUAUGUGAUACAGAUAUCAGGGAUAUUUUUGCGCAGGUAUCCCCGC